Molecule: ribosomal RNA, 253 nt
Filed under: uncultured bacterium
Lineage: Bacteria
Description: partial 16S ribosomal RNA
Rfam family: Bacterial small subunit ribosomal RNA
Source: RNAcentral
UACGAAGGGGGCUAGCGUUGUUCGGAAUCACUGGGCGUAAAGCGCACGUAGGCGGAUUGUUAAGUCGGGGGUGAAAUCCUGAGGCUCAACCUCAGAACUGCCUUCGAUACUGGCAAUCUCGAGUCCGGAAGAGGUUGGUGGAACAGCUAGUGUAGAGGUGAAAUUCGUAGAUAUUAGCUAGAACACCAGUGGCGAAGGCGGCCAACUGGUCCGGUACUGACGCUGAGGUGCGAAAGCGUGGGUAGCAAACAGG